UACGUGUGUUUACACAAACCUUCUUCUUCUUCCAAACACUACUUACACAAUGAUGCUCCGAACACUUAUUUCAGCUUUACUCAUCCUUUGUUCCUAUUCUCUGCAUGGCCUAGCCCAACCUGGUGGAUGUCCUAGAUGUCCCUUAAUAUCAGCACCAGCUCGACCACGACCACCAGUAUACCCUCGACCACGACCACCACUAUACCCACCAGGACUUCAUCUCAUGCCUCGUCGCCCAGCAAACAAUCCUGGACCAUUGUCCAAUAGAGCCAGAAUUCUAUUCAUCACCCAAGAACUCAAAAGAAACAUCACCUAUGACCCACAAAACUAUACUGGCACUUGGGUUGGAAACAACUAUUGCCUUUUCAAAGGUUUCUUUUGUGACACUGUCCCUGACUUGAACAUCACUGGGCUCGCUCGCAUUACCUUCAAUGGCGCAAGAUUUGGUGGUACUUUCUUGAACUUUUAUCGCUUUAUUCGAAAUUUGCCAGACAUUGCUAUCUUCCAUGCCAAUUCUAAUAACUUUAGUGGGGUUAUUAAUAGAAACCUUAACCAACUACGUUAUUUAUACGAGCUGGAUUUGAGUAACAACAGGUUCCUUGGAAGAUUUCCAUCUAAUGUCCUAGGUGCCACAAAUUUAACAUUUGUGGAUCUUAGGUUCAACACUUAUGUUGGGGUAAUCCCACCUGGGGUAUUCAACAUUGACACAAACGUGUUGUUUAUCAACAACAACAGGUUCAUUCAGAAAAUUCCAGCCACAUUAGGUAACACACCAGCUUUGUACCUCACACUUGCCAACAACAAGUUCACUGGUGAAAUCCCACGUAGUAUUGGCCGAACUUGGAACACACUACUUGAAGUGCUCUUCUUGAACAACAGGUUGAACGGUUGUUUGCCUUUUGAAAUUGGUUACUUGCAAAAGUCCACAGUGUUUGAUGUCGGUGGCAAUUUAUUGACGGGUCCAAUUCCACAAUCAUUUGGGUGUUUGUUCAAGAUGGAGUUACUCAAUUUGGCUCACAACCAGUUCUAUGGGACUAUUCCAGAAUCACUAUGCAGGUUACCAAAUGCGUACAAUUUUUCAUUGUCUUACAAUUUCUUCACACAAGUAGGGCCUGUGUGUAGGAGAUUGAUCAGAGCAAAGAGGCUUGAUGUGAGGAGAAACUGCAUUACUGGGCUUCCACAGCAGAAAUCAGCAGCUGAGUGUACACGUUCUUUGCUAGGCCUAGAAGCUGCCCAAGAGAGAGCACUUUCAGCGUUGUUCCUUGUAGGCUUGCUACUACUGGUGAGUCUUCGGAAGAAGAAGAAUUUGAGGUUAUUCCUACAAUUGAUGAAAUGACUCCACCUUCACCUACGACCUAUGGUGCGCUUACAAAGCCUCACCAUUGAUGACCGGAAGGUAUAUAUAUUGUAGUGACUCGGUUCGUGAACUUUGUGAUAGAAUAAGAUUAUCCGAGUUUUUUAUUUGCUUUGUUAAUUAUGGCUAUUAUCAGCGUCAAUGCUUGCAAAAGUGUAAUUACCUUUUCUUUUUUUUUUUGGGGUGAAGGACGUUGCUGGAGAACUCAUGUUCCCUGCUGCUAGAAGUCCUUUUCUUUCUUAAUUUUUCUUUGGUUUUAUUUUUGCGAAUUCGGAACAUUGUGGUCUUUUCCAACAUUAUCGCGUUUUCUUGGUUUGCUAAAUAUUUUAUAUGAAAAUAAAACGAGGAUCUUUAUGUUUUA
Quercus robur (English oak) is the source of this 1715-nucleotide RNA transcript. RefSeq lists it as uncharacterized. The transcript has a single exon. Lineage: Eukaryota; Viridiplantae; Streptophyta; Magnoliopsida; Fagales; Fagaceae. The record is from RefSeq and is a predicted model, not a curated record.